AAUCACCUCCUAAAGGACCUACUGCCAAUACUCACCCUGGGGGUUAGCUUUUUAACUUUUGAAUUUGGGAGGACACAAAGAUUCAGACUAUGGUAAUAGGUAAAAGUGCUUUGCAAAUUAUAGAUCAUUCUACAAAUGCAAUCCAUUAUAUUUGCAUUUGUAUACUGUGCUUUUAAAACCACAAGUCCCCCUGACUUCAGGGCGUAUGAAUUCCACUGCCUUCCUUUGUUCUAAUGCGCAUGGCAGUGAAGGCAACUCUCCUAGAGGGUGGGUUGGAUCAGACAGGGUUGCACCUGAGUGGAUUUUCACAAGAAUGGGUGAGUGGAGAGGGUUCACUUAGCCCCACAAGAAGUAAGGUUCUGUGUGGUCGCGUGUCUGUGGUGAUGGGGGUGGGAAUGUUGCCCUGGGGCAAGAUUCCUGCCUGGGGAGCAAACUGUGGCUUCCAUGGAAAAAUGUAUUUUAUGUUCUAAAAUAUCCCCAGUAACUAGAACACAGCCUGAAGAUCUCGUGCCCUACACAAACACUUGCUGGAACCUGGAGCCACCUAGAACCACGUUCCUUCCACCACCACCACAUGAAGGUGUGGAGCGCUGUUGUAGAGAGACUGGUGGCUCAACGUGCAGCGAGCAUGCCAAGGAACCCCAGACCGUGGAAAUGGCUCUGACUGCACCUGCACUGACCCAGAAGGGCGCUCUCCUGACAACCCAUAGAAAUGGUGGUUGUGGAAUGAAAGCAGAUUGUGUGCGAUUAUCAACCACAGAGCCAUGACUGUGUUUCUAAUAUAACAAAGUGAGAACAUGAGAUUUUCCAUAUACCAUCUGUGCUGUUAAGUUAGCAGUUUGGGGGGCCCUUAUGUUAUGUUAAUGCUCUUUUCUUCUGUGAAUAUAUAUUAACAAAUGCACGUGUGUUUGUGUGCAUAUAUGUGUAUGUGUGUGCAUAUAUAUACGUGUAUCAGUGCACCUGGGCACACACACAAACAUAUUCACUUUACUCAGCUUCACCACCUUCCACUUUCCUCUUAUAAAACCUUUCAGUCACUUGUUAUGGAGAAUAAGUGUUUUCAUCAUAUAGACGCCCUGUAGUUGAUAUACAUGUAAUGAGAACCAUUCAAUUCUUUCAGAGAUGGUUUAGUUUAUAAAAUGCUAGGGGUGGGGCCACCCCAAAACAUCUCAAUGUUUCCAAAAGACCAUAAAGUUCAGGCAGCAGAACAGGUGGUCAGGAGUCCUCUGUUCCUGGUCCCACAGCAGGCGCUUCCAUUCUGCAUGACUCUGCUUUCCAAAGCAAGAUACCGUGUCAGGUGCCACCACAGCCAGCUCCCCGACCUCCCCGGAGUUCAGUAGGCCCUAUUAUCCCUUACUUCUUCCCUCAAUCCCCGUUUUGCCUCUUCUCUGGGAAAGCCUCCUACAUGGCAUGCAGCCCAGCACAGCUAGGCCAUGAAGAUGGUGCAGACCAGCCCCGCGCGUUUCGGGGCGUCAGGCAGACAUGCUAGGGCGGCCGUGCUGGGCAGAGAGAGAACCCCCCCUCAAUGCCACCCGGCCACUUGGCCCAGCUGUGGAGCCCUGGCAAAAGAAGCUGGGUGUUGACUUGCUAGGAUUUCUCUCUGAGACAGUGGUGUCUCGGCUUCUGCGUGUCCCUGAGCCCACCUCCCCUGCACUCCCG
Molecule: long non-coding RNA, 1659 nt
Filed under: Canis lupus familiaris (dog)
Lineage: Eukaryota; Metazoa; Chordata; Mammalia; Carnivora; Canidae
Description: lncRNA (ENSCAFG00040001989.1)
Source: RNAcentral